GACGAACGCUGGCGGCGUGCUUAACACAUGCAAGUCGAACGGAAAGGCCCUGCUUUUGUGGGGUGCUCGAGUGGCGAACGGGUGAGUAACACGUGAGUAACCUGCCCUUGACUUUGGGAUAACUUCAGGAAACUGGGGCUAAUACCGGAUAGGAGCUCCUGCUGCAUGGUGGGGGUUGGAAAGUUUCGGCGGUUGGGGAUGGACUCGCGGCUUAUCAGCUUGUUGGUGGGGUAGUGGCUUACCAAGGCUUUGACGGGUAGCCGGCCUGAGAGGGUGACCGGCCACAUUGGGACUGAGAUACGGCCCAGACUCCUACGGGAGGCAGCAGUGGGGAAUAUUGCACAAUGGGCGGAAGCCUGAUGCAGCAACGCCGCGUGCGGGAUGACGGCCUUCGGGUUGUAAACCGCUUUCGCCUGUGACGAAGCGUGAGUGACGGGAAGGGGUAAAGAAGCACCGGCUAACUACG
This 466-nucleotide ribosomal RNA is filed under the name uncultured bacterium. RNAcentral's name for it is "partial 16S ribosomal RNA". It matches the Rfam family "Bacterial small subunit ribosomal RNA", at positions 28 to 505 of the family's 1533-position model. The record is from RNAcentral.